AGUUUAAGAAAGUUAUAGUCUGUACCUUUUGUAUCAGGGAGGUUCAAAAAUGUUAGAAAAUAGUGUCUCGAUUUAAACAGAUCUUUUUGUUUGGGGUUUUAGUUGCAGUUAAAGCUAAUAUAUGUCAAGAGGUGAAAAAUGUUCGAUGUUUAUGGUAUCUAGUUGCUUUAAUUUAAGGGUGGUUAAGUUCCCUUAAGUCUAAGUUAAAUAAGCUUAAAUAAAGCUAGGCUUUAGAAUAGCCAUGUUUAUAAACUGUUUUAAGUAAUGUUAAUUAAAUACAAAGGUUAGAGUGCAGAGGCUAUGGUGUUUAGUUUUAAAAACUAUAAAUAAUGGAUCUAUUGAAUAUGGGUGGGAAGUAUUAAACAACUCAAGUUGAGUUGGACAGUUUAACAAAAACAUUUUCGCUAGCGAUAUAAGAGGUAAGACCUGCCCGGUGUGUAAUUAACGGCUGCGGUAUUUUGACUGUGCUAAGGUAGCAUAAUCAUUUGUUUCUUAAUUGGUAACUGGCAUGAAAGGUUAAACCAAUUUAACUAGUUUGUGUACUUUUUUAGGAAAUUUAAGUCAAGGUAAGAAUUCUUUGAUCCCCUAGGGGACGAUAAGACCCUAGAAGCUUUAUAUGUUGCUUAUCUUUUAAUGGUGGAAGCUAAGGUAUUUGACUGGGGCGGUAUGAGUAUUUAAACUAUUUUGAGUGUAAUUUGAUCCUUUAUAUAAAGAAAAGUUGGUUAAGUUACUCUAGGGAUAACAGUGCUAUAAUUUUGGAGAGACCUUAUCGAUAAAAUUGUUUGCAACCUCGAUGUUGAAUUAGAAUGUCUAAAUGAAGCAUAAAGUAUUAAAGAGGGUUUGUUCAACC
RNAcentral lists this ribosomal RNA (850 nucleotides) under Gammarus crinicornis. RNAcentral's name for it is "partial 16S ribosomal RNA". The stretch from base 560 to 850 matches the Rfam family "Bacterial large subunit ribosomal RNA", at positions 2046 to 2586 of the family's 2925-position model. The record is from RNAcentral. Lineage: Eukaryota; Metazoa; Arthropoda; Malacostraca; Amphipoda; Gammaridae.